This 1525-nucleotide ribosomal RNA is filed under the name Ignavibacteria bacterium. RNAcentral describes it as "bacterial SSU rRNA". It matches the Rfam family "Bacterial small subunit ribosomal RNA". Lineage: Bacteria; Pseudomonadati; Ignavibacteriota; Ignavibacteria. The record is from RNAcentral.
ACAACGGAGAGUUUGAUCCUGGCUCAGGACGAACGCUGGCGGCGUGCCUAACACAUGCAAGUCAACUUGAGGGAAGGAGCAAUCUGACCUGAUGGUGGCGCAAGGGUGCGUAACGCGUAAGUAACUUGCCCCAAGGUAAGGAAUAACGUCGAGAAAUCGGCGCUAAUACCUCAUAAUGCAGCGGAUCCGCAUGGAUAUGUUGUUAAAGGUUUACCGCCUUGGGAUAGGCUUGCGUCUGAUUAGCUAGUUGGUGAGGUAAUGGCUCACCAAGGCUACGAUCAGUAGCUGGUCUGAGAGGAUGAUCAGUCACACUGGAACUGAGACACGGUCCAGACUCCUACGGGAGGCAGCAGUGAGGAAUAUUGGGCAAUGCACGAAAGUGUGACCCAGCAACGCCGCGUGGAGGAUGAAGGUAUUCUAUAUCGUAAACUCCUGUGAGAGCAGACGAAAGACAGAUUAUUAAUUUGGAUGACUGUAUGCUCAGAGGAAGCCCCGGCUAACUACGUGCCAGCAGCCGCGGUAAUACGUAGGGGGCAAGCGUUGUCCGGAUUCACUGGGUGUAAAGGGCGCGUAGGCGGUAUAGCAAGUCAGUGGUGAAAUCUUGCAGCUCAACUGCAAAACUGCCAUUGAUACUGCUGUACUUGAGUGUGGAAGAGAGAGGCGGAAUUCCAGGUGUAGUGGUGAAAUACGUAGAUAUCUGGAAGAACACCAAUUGCGAAGGCUGCUUCUUGGUCCAUAACUGACGCUGAGGCGCGAAAGCGUGGGGAGCAAACAGGAUUAGAUACCCUGGUAGUCCACGCUGUAAACGAUGAGUGCUAGAUGCCGGAUUUUUUCGGUGUCGCAGCUAACGCAUUAAGCACUCCACCUGGGAAGUACGAUCGCAAGGUUGAAACUCAAAGGAAUUGACGGGGGCCCGCACAAGCAGUGGAGCAUGUGGUUUAAUUCGAUGCAACGCGAAGAACCUUACCUAGGCUUGAAAGGCUUAUGACCGGCUGUGAAAGCAGCUUUCCCGCAAGGGCAUAAGUACAGGUGCUGCAUGGCUGUCGUCAGCUCGUGCCGUGAGGUGUUGGGUUAAGUCCCGCAACGAGCGCAACCCUUACCAUUAGUUGCCACCGGAGCAAUCCGAGCACUCUAAUGGAACUGCCUACGCAAGUAGUGAGGAAGGUGAGGAUGACGUCAAGUCCGCAUGGCCCUUACGCCUAGGGCUACACACGUGCUACAAUGGCCGCCACAACGGGCUGCAAAAUCGCAAGAUGGAGCCAAUCCCUAAAAAGCGGCCUCAGUUCGGAUUGGAGUCUGCAACUCGACUCCAUGAAGUUGGAAUUGCUAGUAAUCGCGCAUCAGCAUGGCGCGGUGAAUACGUUCCCGGGCCUUGUACACACCGCCCGUCAAGCCAUGGAAGCCGGGGGUACCCAAAGACAGUGACUCAACCGCAAGGAGAGAGCUGUUUAAGGUAAAACUGGUGACUGGGGCUAAGUCGUAACAAGGUAGCCGUACCGGAAGGUGCGGCUGGAUCACCUCCUUU